This 157-nucleotide ribosomal RNA is filed under the name Terrisporobacter glycolicus. Its description in RNAcentral is "partial 16S rRNA. Bacterial SSU". It matches the Rfam family "Bacterial small subunit ribosomal RNA", at positions 19 to 184 of the family's 1533-position model. The record is from RNAcentral. Lineage: Bacteria; Bacillati; Bacillota; Clostridia; Peptostreptococcales; Peptostreptococcaceae.
CUGGCUCAGGAUGAACGCUGGCGGCGUGCCUAACACAUGCAAGUCGAGCGAUUUACUUCGGUAAAGAGCGGCGGACGGGUGAGUAACGCGUGGGUAACCUGCCUCAUACACAUGGAUAACAUACCGAAAGGUAUGCUAAUACAGGAUAAUAUAAGAG